AUACGUAGGUGACAAGCGUUAUCCGGAUUUACUGGGCGUGAAGGGCGUGUAGGCGGUCUUGCAAGUCAGAAGUGAAAUUCCUGAGCUCAACUCGGGCGCUGCUUCUGAAACUGCAGGCCUUGAGUGCAGGAGAGGAAAGGGGAACUCCCAGUGUAGCGGUGAAAUGCGUAGAUAUGCCACAGAACGCCGAUAGCGGAGGCAGCUCGCCAGGCCUGCAUUGACGCUCGGGCACGAAAGCGUGGGGAUCGAACAGGAUUAGAUACCCUGGUAGUCCACGCCGUAAACGAUGGGCGCUCGUCGUCGGCGGCAGACAGUCGGCGGCCAAGCGAAAGCGAUAAGCGCCCCACCUGGGGAGUACGGUCGCAAGGCUGAAACUUAAAGGAAUUGACGGG
RNAcentral lists this ribosomal RNA (392 nucleotides) under uncultured bacterium. RNAcentral describes it as "partial 16S ribosomal RNA". It matches the Rfam family "Bacterial small subunit ribosomal RNA", at positions 523 to 917 of the family's 1533-position model. The record is from RNAcentral.